GACGAGUGACUAAACCAAGUUCAUGCGGCCAGCCCGACAUUGACCACCUGCCCCUGUGGCCCUAAUAGCCAAACAAUCACAAAAAAAAGGCUUACAUGUGCCGGUAUGGUGCAAUUCAGCCUCAGGUUUAAAUCUGAGGAUGGUCUUCUCAGUUCCCCAUGACUCUCCUUGCUUGCUUCGAAGUUUAGACGACGAAUUUCACACCUACAUACCGGUUAGUGCGAAAUAGGAAAAAGAUUGGAAAAGUAGAUGAAAAUGAUGCAAAGGAUGAAAAGGACAGAAGUUACCUUAUGUCACUUUGGAUUUUAUCAUCACACGGUGCUCUUCGACUAGAUUUCCCUUCAUUUCCCUUUCCUUCGGCUUCAGCUUCCAUGACGCUCCCACCUCUGCUAGUUUCUCUUCUUUUCUUUCCUUGCGGCGGUCGUUCUCUGCUCUUCCCCUCAUUCUCCUACUCGGCUACGCACUUUCUUUCUCUCAUUUCCUCUUCUCCGACCUUUUCUCUCACCCGAGCGACUCUCUCCUUCUUUCUCUCAUUUUCGUCUUCUCCUUUCAAAUGAAGAAAAAACCUUAAAUUUUUCCUUACAUACCCGUCUCCCUAGGUCAUUGGAUCUUGCAAGGAUCGAUCUAGGUCAUUUAACCUGAAUAAAAUCCCAUCUAUUGGAUCCUUCAAAUAGUUCGAUCAGGACCGUCCAUCUCCUGAUUUUUUUUUGCCCCAUUCCACUUCCAUUUAUUUAUACUUUUACCUCCCUUUUUCUUACUUGUUUUUAUUUAAGACUUUAAAU
This 782-nucleotide long non-coding RNA is filed under the name Carica papaya (papaya). Its description in RNAcentral is "long non-coding RNA (CPAP_LNC006035)". Lineage: Eukaryota; Viridiplantae; Streptophyta; Magnoliopsida; Brassicales; Caricaceae. The record is from RNAcentral.